UACAGAGGGUGCGAGCGUUAAUCGGAAUUACUGGGCGUAAAGCGUGCGUAGGCGGAUUAUUAAGUCAGAUGUGAAAGCCCUGGGCUUAACCUAGGAAUUGCAUCUGAAACUGGUUAUCUAGAGUAUGGUAGAGGAUAGUGGAAUUUCCGGUGUAGCGGUGAAAUGCGUAGAUAUCGGAAGGAACACCAGUGGCGAAGGCGGCUAUCUGGGCCAAUACUGACGCUGAGGCACGAAAGCGUGGGUAGCGAACAGG
RNAcentral lists this ribosomal RNA (253 nucleotides) under uncultured bacterium. Its description in RNAcentral is "partial 16S ribosomal RNA". It matches the Rfam family "Bacterial small subunit ribosomal RNA", at positions 524 to 776 of the family's 1533-position model. The record is from RNAcentral.